UCGAACGCCCCGCAAGGGGAGUGGCAGACGGGUGAGUAACGCGUGGGAACGUGCCCCAAGGUACGGAACAACUCCGGGAAACUGGGGCUAAUACCGUAUGUGCCCGAGAGGGGAAAGAUUUAUCGCCUUGGGAUCGGCCCGCGUCUGAUUAGCUAGUUGGUAGGGUAACGGCCUACCAAGGCUACGAUCAGUAGCUGGUCUGAGAGGAUGGCCAGCCACACUGGGACUGAGACACGGCCCAGACUCCUACGGGAGGCAGCAGUGGGGAAUAUUGGACAAUGGGCGAAAGCCUGAUCCAGCCAUGCCGCGUGAGUGAUGAAGGCCUUAGGGUUGUAAAGCUCUUUCGGCGGGGACGAUAAUGACGGUACCCGCAGAAGAAGCCCCGGCUAACUUCGUGCCAGCAGCCGCGGUAAUACGAAGGGGGCUAGCGUUGUUCGGAAUUACUGGGCGUAAAGCGUAUGUAGGCGGAUCGUUAAGUCGGGGGUGAAAUCCCGAGGCUCAACCUCGGAACUGCCUUCGAUACUGGCGAUCU
Molecule: ribosomal RNA, 532 nt
Filed under: uncultured bacterium
Lineage: Bacteria
Description: bacterial SSU rRNA
Rfam family: Bacterial small subunit ribosomal RNA
Source: RNAcentral